RNAcentral lists this ribosomal RNA (605 nucleotides) under uncultured bacterium. RNAcentral's name for it is "bacterial SSU rRNA". It matches the Rfam family "Bacterial small subunit ribosomal RNA", at positions 240 to 842 of the family's 1533-position model. The record is from RNAcentral.
AUUAGUUAGUUGGCGGUGUAACGGACCACCAAGACGACGAUGCGUAGGGGUUCUGAGAGGAAGGUCCCCCACACUGGUACUGAGACACGGACCAGACUCCUACGGGAGGCAGCAGUGAGGAAUAUUGGUCAAUGGGCGGGAGCCUGAACCAGCCAAGUCGCGUGAGGGAUGACGGCCCUAUGGGUUGUAAACCUCUUUUGCCGGGGAGCAAAGUGCCGCACGUGUGCGGUUUGGAGAGUACCCGGAGAAAAAGCAUCGGCUAACUCCGUGCCAGCAGCCGCGGUAAUACGGAGGAUGCGAGCGUUAUCCGGAUUUAUUGGGUUUAAAGGGUGCGUAGGCGGACGCUUAAGUCAGCGGUAAAAUUGCGGGGCUCAACCUCGUCGAGCCGUUGAAACUGGGUGCCUUGAGUGGGCGAGAAGUACGCGGAAUGCGUGGUGUAGCGGUGAAAUGCAUAGAUAUCACGCAGAACUCCGAUUGCGAAGGCAGCGUACCGGCGCCCAACUGACGCUGAAGCACGAAGGCGUGGGUAUCGAACAGGAUUAGAUACCCUGGUAGUCCACGCAGUAAACGAUGAAUGCUAGUUGUCCGGGGCGAUUGAGUUCUGG